This 796-nucleotide ribosomal RNA is filed under the name uncultured Methanosarcinales archaeon. RNAcentral describes it as "bacterial SSU rRNA". It matches the Rfam family "Archaeal small subunit ribosomal RNA", at positions 85 to 879 of the family's 1478-position model. Lineage: Archaea; Methanobacteriati; Methanobacteriota; Methanomicrobia; Methanosarcinales. The record is from RNAcentral.
ACKGCUCAGUAACACGUGGAUAACCUGCCCUUGGGUCCGGCAUAACCCCGGGAAACUGGGGAUAAUUCCGGAUAACGCACAUAUGCUGGAAUGCUUUAUGCGUAAAAUGGAUUCGUCUGCCCAAGGAUGGGUCUGCGGCCUAUCAGGUAGUAGUGGGUGUAAUGUACCUACUAGCCAACAACGGGUACGGGUUGUGAGAGCAAGAGCCCGGAGAUGGAUUCUGAGACAUGAAUCCAGGCCCUACGGGGCGCAGCAGGCGCGAAAACUUUACAACGCGGGAAACCGUGAUAAGGGGACACCGAGUGCCAGCAUCAUAUGCUGGCUGUCCAGGUGUGUAAAAUACACCUGUCAGCAAGGGCCGGGCAAGACCGGUGCCAGCCGCCGCGGUAACACCGGCGGCUCGAGUGGUAACCGUUAUUAUUGGGUCUAAAGGGUCUGUAGCCGGCCGGAUAAGUCUCUUGGGAAAUCUGGCAGCUUAACUGUCAGGCUUUCAGGAGAUACUGUCUGGCUCGAGGCCGGGAGAGGUGAGAGGUACUUCAGGGGUAGGGGUGAAAUCUUGUAAUCCUUGAAGGACCACCAGUGGCGAAGGCGUCUCACCAGAACGGACCUGACGGCAAGGGACGAAAGCUAGGGGCACGAACCGGAUUAGAUACCCGGGUAGUCCUAGCCGUAAACGAUACUCGCUAGGUGUCGGCCACGGUGCGACCGUUGUCGGUGCCGUAGGGAAGCCGUGAAGCGAGCCACCUGGGAAGUACGGCCGCAAGGCUGAAACUUAAAGGAAUUGGCGGGGGAGCAC